GCAUUGGUGGUUCAGUGGUAGAAUUCUCGCCUUACAUGCGAGAGACUCGGGUUUGAUUCCUGGCCAACGCA
Non-coding RNA from Trichechus manatus latirostris (Florida manatee), 71 nucleotides. The record is from the annotation of a RefSeq genome assembly. Lineage: Eukaryota; Metazoa; Chordata; Mammalia; Sirenia; Trichechidae.